UUGAAAGGGAAGAGAAGAAAAGAAGAGGGAUAAAGGGGAAGAGGAGAGAAGAGAAGAGGAGGGAGAGAGGAGAGGCCGAGACCGCCUCCCCCUUCGUUUUAGCGCAGAAAUGAAGUUAGGGUUUGGGUUUGGAUUUGAGGGCGUAUUUAAUGCACUAUCUCAAGACCAAAAACAGAAGUACUAUCUGGAUAAUUUUAUCAAGUCGUGAUGACUUUCUUGAAGAUCAAUAACACAA
This 235-nucleotide long non-coding RNA is filed under the name Prunus persica (peach). RNAcentral describes it as "long non-coding RNA (PPER_LNC003010)". The record is from RNAcentral. Lineage: Eukaryota; Viridiplantae; Streptophyta; Magnoliopsida; Rosales; Rosaceae.